GGUCCGCUGGUGUAAGUGGUAGCAGGCCUGGUCUGGGUAUUAGUACCGACGGGGAAAGUGCUCUUUAGUGACCAGGAGAGUGUCGGUUCGACUCCGAGGCGGGCCU
RNAcentral lists this transfer RNA (106 nucleotides) under Sordaria sp. MPI-SDFR-AT-0083. RNAcentral describes it as "tRNA-Pro". The record is from RNAcentral. Lineage: Eukaryota; Fungi; Ascomycota; Sordariomycetes; Sordariales; Sordariaceae.